This 253-nucleotide ribosomal RNA is filed under the name uncultured bacterium. Its description in RNAcentral is "partial 16S ribosomal RNA". It matches the Rfam family "Bacterial small subunit ribosomal RNA", at positions 524 to 776 of the family's 1533-position model. The record is from RNAcentral.
CACGUAGGGCGCAAGCGUUGUCCGGAAUUAUUGGGCGUAAAGAGCUCGUAGGCGGUCUGUUGCGUCCGCUGUGAAAACCCGGGGCUUAACCCUGGGCUGGCAGUGGAUACGGACAGACUAGAGGUAGGUAGGGGAGAAUGGAAUUCCCGGUGUAGCGGUGAAAUGCGCAGAUAUCGGGAGGAACACCGGUGGCGAAGGCGGUUCUCUGGGCCUUACCUGACGCUGAGGCGCGAAGGCGUGGGGAGCGAACGGG